GCCCCCAUCGUCUAGCGGCCUAGGACGUCGCCCUUUCACGGCGGUAGCACGGGUUCGAAUCCCGUUGGGGGUG
Transfer RNA from Nocardioides sp. CF8, 73 nucleotides. It matches the Rfam family "tRNA". From Rfam's summary of the family: Transfer RNA (tRNA) molecules are approximately 80 nucleotides in length. Their secondary structure includes four short double-helical elements and three loops (D, anti-codon, and T loops). Lineage: Bacteria; Bacillati; Actinomycetota; Actinomycetes; Propionibacteriales; Nocardioidaceae. The record is from Rfam.